RNAcentral lists this non-coding RNA (24 nucleotides) under Arabidopsis thaliana (thale cress). Lineage: Eukaryota; Viridiplantae; Streptophyta; Magnoliopsida; Brassicales; Brassicaceae. The record is from RNAcentral.
UAACCAACAGAUUCAGUAUGCUGC